Molecule: transfer RNA, 66 nt
Filed under: Bullacta caurina
Lineage: Eukaryota; Metazoa; Mollusca; Gastropoda; Cephalaspidea; Haminoeidae
Description: tRNA-Met
Source: RNAcentral
UCAGUGGAUCAGCUAAGUUUUAAGCUAUUGGGCUCAUAACCCAACAAUGGUCUAUCCUCCUCUGAA